GGGGACAUGGAAAACUGCAGUGACUCAGGGAAGACACAGGGAAAUCCACAGACUUGCAGUCUGAGAGGCAGUGCCCUGGUAGAGGGGAUUAUCACCGAGGCACAGAGAUGACAGUGUCAUCCUCGCUCUGUGCCCUGCAAGCAGGGACAGAACCUUGGGCACUCACUUGUUGGGACCCCGUGGAAAUGACACAGCCUGCCAACGCCUUUGAGGCGACAGAAGAGCCCUGGGGCCCUCAGGAGUGUUUGGCUCAGAACUGCCCUCAUCUUCCUUCUCUUUCUCCAUCUCACACAGGCGCAUCUUGGAAAUGCCUGUGGACAGCGAUGAUUCCACCACCUGGGUCACAGCAAGUGAAAACAGCUGCUCUUCAAGGCCAUCGCCGUGCCCUUUGAGCACCAGUUCUGGGGAAACGGAGGCACCUUGCCCGCACCCGAAAGCCCAGGAGAACUUGGAAAGCUCCAUCCCAGAAAGGAAAGCGGAGCAGGGACUAAGCCGCAAUGCUCCUAAUGUGAAAAUGCAGGCACCACAGCACGUGGAGAAGAGAUUGUCAGAGCCUGUCCUGGGGCAGGAAGAUUCCCAGCUUCCUCAUCCAUGGAGGCACACGAGAGUGUCGAUCCGCUCACCCUUUCAGCACAGGCACAGGCACAGGCACAGGCAAGCUCGGGCAAGGAAGUCAGCAGCGCAGCACCAUGGUCAACUGCGAAAAUCUGCCUCCAUGCCAGAUGCGCACACACAAGAAAAAAAGGUUCCAGUCCAAACUGCCUCCUAUGGAGUCACUGAAGGCACUGAAGACCAGCAGAACAGGUUGAUGCGUCUAAGGCUGGAGCAGUUCCAGUAUGUUGAGAGGCAAACGGCAAAUUGUCUGCCUGGCAAGGAAGGAUCCCAGGGCGUGGCUCCAUCCAACACUGCAGGCCUGGUUGAUGCGUCUAAGGCUGGAGCAGUUCCAAUAUGUUGAGAGGCAAAAGGCAAAUUGUCUGCCUGGCAAGGAAGGGUCCCAGGGCGUGGCUCCAUCCAACACUGCAGGCCUGGUUGAUGCACAAGGAGCAACAGUGGGAGAGAGGAAUUCACCCAGGGGCAGGACCACGGCCAGGAGGCAGCACCACGGCCAGGAGGCAGCAGGGCCAGAAUAAUACUGCUGCCACCCAGCAGCAAAGGAGGCUCUUUGAACGAAUGCGAAGGAUUUUGUCAGCUGUGUGGAGGAAGCUUCUGCCACAUUGUACACAUUGUAAAUUAUUCAGGCCCCGGCCAGCACAUGCAGAGAUGAGGCCCAGGCACAUGGCAGCAGGACACAGGACACCUAGGCCAGGGACACCACCUCUACCAGGCAUCCCUCCUGUGCCUUUGCAUUCAGUGUGCCUGUGCCAAGCUCCGAGCUGCCGGCAAGGCCCUCUAUUCGAUGGUCAAGAAGAGAGGUGAGGAGCCCUCAGGAAGGGAAGACGGCCCGUAAUUAAAAACGGAUUCUCAGAGCCAACUAGGAUGGACACAGAUCGAUGUGAGACUAGAGGAUCACUCGGACUACUGGGCUAAAGGGAAAGCCCACGUCUGUGGGCUUUGUAUGUUUAAAGAAAAUAAAGUAUUUUUACUGCUUUUUGUUUGCA
This is a long non-coding RNA of Numida meleagris (helmeted guineafowl), 1598 nucleotides long. The record is from Ensembl. NCBI's taxonomy places the organism in Eukaryota, Metazoa, Chordata, Aves, Galliformes, Numididae.